AAUACUUCUUGGCCUUUUGGCUAAGAUCAAGUGUAGUAUCAGCCACAUUAGUUGGCCAUCUCACUUUGCACAGUAGAAGCUUGAGUAAGUUACAGAUUUUUUUUUUCGUGUCAGGAGCAACCGAAGUUGCUUCUGGAGUGAGAGAAUUGAACGUCU
This is a small nuclear RNA of Anolis carolinensis (green anole), 156 nucleotides long. Its record names the gene U2. It matches the Rfam family "U2 spliceosomal RNA". From Rfam's summary of the family: U2 is a small nuclear RNA (snRNA) component of the spliceosome (involved in pre-mRNA splicing). The record is from Ensembl. Lineage: Eukaryota; Metazoa; Chordata; Lepidosauria; Squamata; Anolidae.